Molecule: ribosomal RNA, 455 nt
Filed under: uncultured bacterium
Lineage: Bacteria
Description: bacterial SSU rRNA
Rfam family: Bacterial small subunit ribosomal RNA
Source: RNAcentral
AGAGUUUGAUCAUGGCUCAGAACGAACGCUGGCGGCAGGCUUAACACAUGCAAGUCGAACGGGUGUAGCAAUACAUCAGUGGCAGACGGGUGAGUAACACGUGGGAACCUUCCUAGGGGUACGGAACAACUCAGGGAAACUUGAGCUAAUACCGUAUACGUCCGUGAGGAGAAAGAUUUAUCGCCCUUAGACGGGCCCGCGUCGGAUUAGCUAGUUGGUGGGGUAACGGCCUACCAAGGCGACGAUCCGUAGCUGAUCUUAGAGGAUGAUCAGCCACACUGGGACUGAGACACGGCCCAGACUCCUACGGGAGGCAGCAGUGGGGAAUCUUGGACAAUGGGCGCAAGCCUGAUCCAGCCAUGUCGCGUGAGUGAAGAAGGUCUUCGGAUUGUAAAGCUCUUUUGCCAGGGACGAUAAUGACGGUACCUGGAGAAUAAGCCCCGGCAAACUUCGUG